UACAGGGGGGGCAAGCGUUGUUCGGAAUUACUGGGCGUAAAGGGCUCGUAGGCGGCCAACUAAGUCACACGUGAAAUCCCCAGGCUUAACCUGGGAACUGCGUGUGAUACUGGAUGGCUUGAAUCCGGGAGAGGGAUGCAGAAUUCCAGGUGUAGCGGUGAAAUGCGUAGAUAUCUGGAGGAAUACCGGUGGCGAAGGCGGCAUCCUGGACCGGCAUUGACGCUGAUGAGAGAAAGCUAGGGGAGCAAACGGG
RNAcentral lists this ribosomal RNA (253 nucleotides) under uncultured bacterium. RNAcentral's name for it is "partial 16S ribosomal RNA". It matches the Rfam family "Bacterial small subunit ribosomal RNA", at positions 524 to 776 of the family's 1533-position model. The record is from RNAcentral.